AGAGUUUGAUCAUGGCUCAGAACGAACGCUGGCGGCAGGCCUAACACAUGCAAGUCGAGCGCGCCUUCGGGCGAGCGGCGGACGGGUUAGUAACGCGUGGGAACGUGCCCAGAUCUACGGAAUAGCCACUGGAAACGGUGAGUAAUACCGUAUACGCCCUUAGGGGGAAAGAUUUAUCGGAUUUGGAUCGGCCCGCGUUAGAUUAGGUAGUUGGUGGGGUAACGGCCUACCAAGCCUACGAUCUAUAGCUGGUUUUAGAGGAUGAUCAGCAACACUGGGACUGAGACACGGCCCAGACUCCUACGGGAGGCAGCAGUGGGGAAUCUUGGACAAUGGGGGAAACCCUGAUCCAGCCAUGCCGCGUGAGUGAAGAAGGCCCUAGGGUCGUAAAACUCUUUCGCCUGUGAUGAUAAUGACAGUAGCAGGUAAAGAAACCCCGGCUAACUCCGUGCCAGCCGCCGCGGUAAUAC
RNAcentral lists this ribosomal RNA (470 nucleotides) under uncultured bacterium. Its description in RNAcentral is "bacterial SSU rRNA". It matches the Rfam family "Bacterial small subunit ribosomal RNA", at positions 8 to 526 of the family's 1533-position model. The record is from RNAcentral.